GUGUUAAUUAGUCAACCGGAGCAUUUGAUGUCAAAUGCUCCGGUUGACAAAUCAACACGAGCAUUUGUUAAUAAAUGCUACGGUUAAUCAACGGAGCACAAGUGGAUGGUUAAGACUUAAGCGCAAGUUUUUUUCUUUGGUGAAAUUCAAAAAGUUCAGUCCCCCCUCUUAUGUCCUCCCACGAAACCAAAGCAUUCACCACUAAAGAGAGAGAAAGCACUUACCAAUCGAGGAAGACGAACAUAGAUACCUCCGCCGGUUACCGCGCCGCCGUCUGCUACCGAGGGUUGAUUUGAAUUUUCUAUAAUUUUUUUGGAUUUCAUGUUAGUCUAUGGUUUUCCGUUUCAUGUAGUUGCUGCAAGGGCGUGGAAUGUUGCAAACCAGGCAUAUUGAAGAGAAAGAACCAUCAUCUUCUGGGAGGACAACUGAGCCAGUGAACCAUCAACCUCAAGCUUUUGAAGCACAAAUUGCUGGAAAAUGGACUGAAGCAGCCAAGGACAUGGAUAUGCUAACUUGAUUCAAAUCUUGGAAUCUCUCUUGAUGCAGAUUCAAGCUUGACAGCUGCAAAGGAACAGAAAUUUACCAUAUGCGAAAUAUCUCCAAAAUGGGGAUCUGCUGAUGAUUCCACAAAGGUCAGCUAAAUGAUGAACUUGAACACAAAAUCACUAUGAUGGAAACUUCAGUAAAUAGGUCAGGAGUGAUCUUGGAUUCUGUUCAGGCUUAUAUCAUGCAAGUAGACAAAGGAACGAAAGAGCUCUCUCUUGAAGCAGCAGGUCGAGUUUGGUGAGGGAGUGUGGUGUGUGUCUCGUAGCGGUGCCAGCGACGAUGCAUUGCAGUCAACUCUUGACUACGCUUGUGCAGUGGGUGCUGACUGUACCCCCAUUCAGCAGUCUGGACUAUGUUUCCUCCCUAACACUCUUCAGGCUCACGCCUCCUACGCCUUCAACAGCUUUUACCAGCGCAAUCAUAUGUCUGCUUCUUCUUGUGACUUCUCCGCCACUGCCACCCUCGCUCAAACUGAUCCCAGCUAUGGAUCUUGCGUCUACCCUGCUUCUCUAAGGUACAUAUAUGAUAUAAUGAUCUGGAUCAUCAUCAAGUUGCCGCCCUUGCAAGUUGCUUUAUCCCCGGAGAUAAGUCAAAUGAGCAGAUUCAUCUGCGAGCGGAACUUGCAAAACCCUUACAACAACUCCAAGACAGUGCAUGAAAAAUAGCACAGUGGUCAGACAUCAUAUUGCAGAAUACUUGAGUGCUUGUUGCUUACUGCAGCUAUAGUUGCACCUUAUUGAAGUAUUUGGAUUGCAUUGGAGGCUGGUGUUGCAGUUUGGUGCGUGGGAUUCCAAAAAAUGUGAUGUCCUCAUAACAUUUAAGGAAUAUGUUCAUAUGGAUAUAUUAGUUUACCUUAAUGUUAAUUGUUAUUUAUUUGUAUUAUAUCUUGUAUUUAUGAACAAAAAUAUUAGAAAUGAAACUUUUAUCUACAUGUAAA
Molecule: long non-coding RNA, 1483 nt
Organism: Beta vulgaris subsp. vulgaris (sugar beet)
Lineage: Eukaryota; Viridiplantae; Streptophyta; Magnoliopsida; Caryophyllales; Amaranthaceae
Exons: 9
Source: RefSeq, a predicted model, not a curated record